This 253-nucleotide ribosomal RNA is filed under the name uncultured prokaryote. RNAcentral describes it as "partial 16S ribosomal RNA". It matches the Rfam family "Bacterial small subunit ribosomal RNA", at positions 524 to 776 of the family's 1533-position model. The record is from RNAcentral.
UACGUAGGAGGCAAGCAUUAUCCGGAUUCAUUGGGCGUAAAGUGUGCGUAGGCGUUCCAUAAAGUCUUCACUUAAAGACCGGGGCUUACCCCCGGGAGUGGUGGGGAUACUCAUGGAAUUGAGGAUUGGCAAGGAUGCUGGAACAGCUGGUGUAGCAGUGAAAUGCGUUGAUAUCAGUUGGAACACCAAGGGCGAAGGCAAGCAUCUGUGCUCUUCCUGACGCUGAGGCACGAAAGCUAGGGUAGCGAAACAG